RNAcentral lists this ribosomal RNA (223 nucleotides) under Enterobacter hormaechei. RNAcentral's name for it is "partial 23S ribosomal RNA". It matches the Rfam family "Bacterial large subunit ribosomal RNA", at positions 1646 to 1852 of the family's 2925-position model. Lineage: Bacteria; Pseudomonadati; Pseudomonadota; Gammaproteobacteria; Enterobacterales; Enterobacteriaceae. The record is from RNAcentral.
ACCCCAAACCGACACAGGUGGUCAGGUAGAGAAUACCAAGGCGCUUGAGAGAACUCGGGUGAAGGAACUAGGCAAAAUGGUGCCGUAACUUCGGGAGAAGGCACGCUGAUAGGUAGGUGAAGUCCCUGCGGACGGAGCUGAAAUCAGUCGAAGAUACCAGCUGGCUGCAACUGUUUAUUAAAAACACAGCACUGUGCAAACACGAAAGUGGACGUAUACGGUG